CGCUGGCAUUAGCUCAAUUUGAUUAUGCGAAGGAGCUCGUGAGAGACGACCGCCUUCAAGAUGCGGCAAAAGAGGCUAAGAAAGCGAAGGUAAUUCUCAAGGAAACCGACAAGGAAGAUGCUAUCGAAUAGCUUCGGAGGAUGACGGUGGGUACGAAAGAAGCCAAAUCUGCAUAUGAAUAUGAAAGAAGCCAAAAGAAUCAAGCUUCACCUAUCUUCAAUUUUAUGAGUUGAAUUUUCUAUAAUCAAUUAUCUUCCAAUAAAAGCAGUGGAAUUCAUAUAUGCAUCUACGUGUAUGUUAAAUAAAAUCCAAAUAUGGUACAUGCACCUUAAUUUCUCUUUCUGCAUAACAAGUGGUUUAAAAUUGAAAAUGGGUUUCUUUCUUUUUCAUUCUUUUAAGCUUCUACAGGAAUUUGACUUUAUUCCACACAAACACCAUUUCUGCACCUUAAUUUCACCUUUUUUGUAUUCAUUUUCUGUUUCUGUUUAAAAGGGUCAUCUGUUCUUGCAGGGAAGCUGUUUAUCAGUUUCAGUUUUUAGAAAUAGAUACUUUCUGUAUAAUUAAUCACUGAUUUGAGUACCCUCUUAAAUAUUAUGGUAUUUGUUUACCUUAUAUAA
Long non-coding RNA from Vigna radiata var. radiata (mung bean), 617 nucleotides. RefSeq lists it as uncharacterized. The record is from RefSeq and is a predicted model, not a curated record. The transcript has 2 exons. Lineage: Eukaryota; Viridiplantae; Streptophyta; Magnoliopsida; Fabales; Fabaceae.